UGGGGAAUAUUGGACAAUGGGCGAAAGCCUGAUCCAGCCAUGCCGCGUGUGUGAAGAAGGUCUUCGGAUUGUAAAGCACUUUAAGUUGGGAGGAAGGGCAGUUACCUAAUACGUGAUUGUUUUGACGUUACCGACAGAAUAAGCACCGGCUAACUCUGUGCCAGCAGCCGCGGUAAUACAGAGGGUGCAAGCGUUAAUCGGAAUUACUGGGCGUAAAGCGCGCGUAGGUGGUUAGUUAAGUUGGAUGUGAAAUCCCCGGGCUCAACCUGGGAACUGCAUUCAAAACUGACAAGCUAGAGUAUGGUAGAGGGUGGUGGAAUUUCCUGUGUAGCGGUGAAAUGCGUAGAUAUAGGAAGGAACACCAGUGGCGAAGGCGACUUGCUGGACUUAUGGUGACGCUGAGACGCGAAAGCGUGGGGAGCAAACAGGAUUAGAUACCCAGGUAGUCCCUGAGCGGGCUGGCAAGGCGCAU
Molecule: ribosomal RNA, 472 nt
Filed under: uncultured bacterium
Lineage: Bacteria
Description: bacterial SSU rRNA
Rfam family: Bacterial small subunit ribosomal RNA
Source: RNAcentral